RNAcentral lists this ribosomal RNA (1220 nucleotides) under metagenome. Its description in RNAcentral is "bacterial SSU rRNA". It matches the Rfam family "Bacterial small subunit ribosomal RNA", at positions 264 to 1498 of the family's 1533-position model. The record is from RNAcentral.
CUUACCAAGGCUACGAUGGGUAGGGGUCCUGAGAGGGAGAUCCCCCACACUGGUACUGAGACACGGACCAGACUCCUACGGGAGGCAGCAGUGAGGAAUAUUGGACAAUGGGCGCAAGCCUGAUCCAGCCAUGCCGCGUGCAGGAUGACGGUCCUAUGGAUUGUAAACUGCUUUUAUACGAGAAGAAACACUCCUACGUGUAGGAGCUUGACGGUAUCGUAAGAAUAAGGAUCGGCUAACUCCGUGCCAGCAGCCGCGGUAAUACGGAGGAUCCAAGCGUUAUCCGGAAUCAUUGGGUUUAAAGGGUCCGUAGGCGGUUUAAUAAGUCAGUGGUGAAAGCCCAUCGCUCAACGGUGGAACGGCCAUUGAUACUGUUAAACUUGAAUUAUUAGGAAGUAACUAGAAUAUGUAGUGUAGCGGUGAAAUGCUUAGAGAUUACAUGGAAUACCAAUUGCGAAGGCAGGUUACUACUAAUUGAUUGACGCUGAUGGACGAAAGCGUGGGUAGCGAACAGGAUUAGAUACCCUGGUAGUCCACGCCGUAAACGAUGGAUACUAGCUGUUGGGAGCAAUCUCAGUGGCUAAGCGAAAGUGAUAAGUAUCCCACCUGGGGAGUACGUUUGCAAGAAUGAAACUCAAAGGAAUUGACGGGGGCCCGCACAAGCGGUGGAGCAUGUGGUUUAAUUCGAUGAUACGCGAGGAACCUUACCAAGGCUUAAAUGUAGAUUGACCGUUUUGGAAACAGAACUUUCGCAAGACAAUUUACAAGGUGCUGCAUGGUUGUCGUCAGCUCGUGCCGUGAGGUGUCAGGUUAAGUCCUAUAACGAGCGCAACCCCUGUUGUUAGUUGCCAGCGAGUCAAGUCGGGAACUCUAACAAGACUGCCAGUGCAAACUGUGAGGAAGGUGGGGAUGACGUCAAAUCAUCACGGCCCUUACGCCUUGGGCUACACACGUGCUACAAUGGCCGGUACAGAGAGCAGCCACUGGGCGACCAGGAGCGAAUCUAUAAAACCGGUCACAGUUCGGAUCGGAGUCUGCAACUCGACUCCGUGAAGCUGGAAUCGCUGGUAAUCGGAUAUCAGCCAUGAUCCGGUGAAUACGUUCCCGGGCCUUGUACACACCGCCCGUCAAGCCAUGGAAGCUGGGGGUGCCUGAAGUCGGUGACCGCAAGGAGCUGCCUAGGGUAAAACUGGUAACUAGGGCUAAGUCGUAACAAGGUA